This 525-nucleotide long non-coding RNA is filed under the name Homo sapiens (human). RNAcentral describes it as "HSALNT0397559". Lineage: Eukaryota; Metazoa; Chordata; Mammalia; Primates; Hominidae. The record is from RNAcentral.
CGCGAAGAAGUACAACAAAGGGCCAACGGGGAGGUCCAACGGUCCGACCCCAGCCGGACUCGAGCUCACUCGGUUGCAGGCGUUAGGCUCCCAGCGGCUCUCAGCCGUUAAGUGGAGAAUGUUCAGGACUGUCGAGGCGCGCUCCGCACCUGGCCUGAAAGCGGGAGAUUUGGCAACCAGUGCGCGUGGGUGCGCCGGCCCUUGCAGCUGGGGACUCUGGAGGCAGACCUUGCCCAAAGCCAGAGGCAGGAACUCCCCAGAUCCUCCCAGGGUAGCAUGGGAGGAUGCCGCCUCCUCCAGGAAGCUCUCUAGCGCUUUUCCGAGUCCUGGAGCCAGGCGGGACUUCUCUGUGGUCGCCUAGAAGGAGACCAACAAUUGUCAGCACAGCAAAACUGGGCAUUUCUUUUCUUACUGAGCUUUGCAGCUACCUACACAGUUGUGUGUGGCAUCUCCUCCUGGGUGCAAGGACAUGAGAUGACAUCAGGGUCUUGCUGUGUCAUCCAGGCUGGAGUGCAGUGAUAUGAG